CACAGACACUGGCAGACUCCAUUGGAGUUCUUCCCCUAGCCUGUUAGCAGGGUCUGCCCUGCCCACUAGAGCAUGGAUUUAAUUCAGCUCAGCCAGAGAAGGCAGCCUGCCCUAGGGACUGGCCCUACCCAACAGCAAGCCCUAAAGGCAACUUUUCCACCUUCAUAGAUGGGGUCCCUGGCAGGAAGAAUCAAAGUGCUUCACUCCUGAAAUCUAUGGUAGACAUUUAUUCUAUUAAUGGAUAAUAUUUUUGGUUGGGCUUUGCUGAUCAGUUUAGAUCUCAGCUCCCUUGUGCCUGAACACACAAGAAAUCGUUAAUAGAAAGAAAGAAAAAGCAAAGAAUAUUUAAUGUUUAGGAGACUGAAAUGAUGGAAGAGAAAACUGAGGUCCAGAGAGAUUAAGGAAGCUGCUAAAGACCAUUGGGCUGACUGAUUUCUUCUCAUACGGGGGACAUAGCUACAAACAGCUUUGGAGCUCAUAGUCUCAAAUGCUCCUUUCUGAGAGAAGAAAGAACUCGAAGCAAGAUUCACCACUCUGUUUUUAAAAGAUGGGGAAGAAUCCCUAUUUGACCUAGAUUUUGUCACAUACCCAUUGCCAAGACAAAUCACCAUGAGAGAGCAUUUAACUACCAGAAUUGGUCCAGUUUGAAUCAGGUGAUCACCUCUGGACAAAUGAUUAAAGUCAGGAGACGGAGUGAUACAAAAUGAUGGCAAUUCCUUUUUGAAUCCUAGAGUUUCUGAUGUUGGGGGUGGAGUAGAAGUUUUCUUCCUCUUCCAAAUGGAGGAAGGAAUUAUGGGUAAAAGAAACAAUGGAUGUGUUUGUCAAUUAUACUUCAAUAAAAAGUGUUUUUUAAAAAUU
Molecule: long non-coding RNA, 858 nt
Filed under: Equus caballus (horse)
Lineage: Eukaryota; Metazoa; Chordata; Mammalia; Perissodactyla; Equidae
Description: lncRNA (ENSECAG00000060343.1)
Source: RNAcentral